This is an RNA transcript of Silurus meridionalis, 2700 nucleotides long. It is a transcript of the gene named potassium voltage-gated channel, subfamily G, member 4a, with no coding region annotated. NCBI's taxonomy places the organism in Eukaryota, Metazoa, Chordata, Actinopteri, Siluriformes, Siluridae. The transcript is spliced from 7 exons. The record is from RefSeq and is a predicted model, not a curated record.
CAUCAGCGCCCUGUCUUUCUGCUGUUCCACGAGUCGCGCGCUGCGGGUUUGAUUUUAUUUUUUUCCAGAAAUGAUCAUAGAUCGGAAAUAACGUGGCCUUGGUGUGAGAUGUAACGCUUUAAAUGCAAUUAAUAGAAAAAAAAGAGAGAAAAAAAAGAAAUGAAAAGUGAGGACCGGCGGCGCAAACUGGCUCAGUAGGGAUUAAAUGAGGCUUACUGAAGAAAUCUCCCAUGAUACUAUAUCCUCUGGGAUGAUCAGUGUUGUUUCUCGGAUGAACGCAGAAAUUCCCAUCAGCUAACCUCCUCUGAAAAGAAGGCUCGUCAUCUGUUGACCAGCUUCCUCAUCUAAAUGCCACCAUGCCAAUCAUCAACACCAACCAUGAUUUUAGCAACCUAUCUGUCAGUGAUGACAGUAGCUUGGACCGCAUCUUUACUGAGAUCCCUGAAACAGAGACGAUCAAAGGUGUGUACUACCAGCGUGCACGCCUCUUACGCCGGCCUGAGGACCUUCUCUCGGUGGAUCACGCACUGCAGGCCCUCAUUAAUGUAGGGGGAAAUCGCUACACGUUGCCAUGGAGCACUUUGGAGCAGUUUCCAAUGACGCGUCUGGGAAAGCUGCGCACGUGCAGGAGCCCCGAGGAGAUUGCCGGUGUGUGUGACGACUAUGACGAGGCACGCCACGAGUUCUUCUUUGACCGCAGCCCCAACGCCUUCCGUGUCAUUUUAAACUUCCUAGCAGCAGGUAAGCUGCGGAUGCUGCGGGAGACAUGUGCACUGUCUUUGCACGAUGAGCUGACCUACUGGGGAAUAGAGACGGCAUGCAUGGAGCGCUGCUGCAAGCGAAAAAUGUACAUGCGCCUGGAAGAAGUGGGCGAUCACGAACGUCGCAAGCAGGAUGAGCUAAGGAGACGCAAUUCUCAGCAACGCCCCCCACAGGAUGACACAUGCUACCACCGAUUCAUGAGCCACCUCAGGGACAUGGUGGAGAAUCCACAGUCAGGGCUGCCAGGGAAGGUGUUUGCAUGUUUCUCUGUAAUUAUGGUGGCCGUCACUGUCAUCAGUCUGUGCAUCAGCACAAUGCCUGACCUGCGAGAGGAGGAGAACAGGGGUGAAUGCUCACAGAAGUGCUACCACAUGUUCAUCGUGGAGACCGUGUGCGUUGCGUGGUUUUCGCUGGAGUUUGUGUUACGCUUCCUGCAGGCACGCAGCAAGCUGGAGUUCCUAAGAGGACCACUCAACAUCAUCGACGCCAUGGCCAUCUUGCCCUACUAUGUGUCCCUGGCUGUAGAUGAAGAAGAGGAAGAGACAGGGUUUGACCAAGAACGCUCACCCGCUGGCAAGGGCUAUCUGGACAAGCUGGGCCUGGUGCUACGAAUCCUGCGAGCACUGCGUAUCUUAUAUGUAAUGCGGCUUGCACGACACUCACUGGGCCUGCAGACUCUGGGACUGACUGUACGGCGAAGCACUCGCGAGUUUGGCCUUCUGCUUCUCUUCUUGUGUGUAGCCGUGACACUAUUCUCACCACUUGUUCACCUGGCCGAAAGUGAACUAAGCGGUGAGCAGGACUUCAGCAGCAUCCCCGCCUCCUACUGGUGGGCCAUUAUCUCUAUGACGACAGUGGGGUAUGGUGACAUGGUGCCACGUAGCAUCCCUGGUCAGGUGGUGGCGCUCAGCAGCAUUCUGAGCGGCAUCCUUAUCAUGGCGUUCCCUGCCACCUCCAUCUUCCACAUGUUCUCGCGCUCCUACCAGGAGCUCAAACAAGAGCACCAACGCAUAAUGAAGGAGGAAUGUGCAAAAGCCGCAGCUGCGGCUAUGGACUUAUUUGGAGAGGAUCCAGAAAAAAGUGGGGAUCAUCUUCCACCUACACUAGCCGUCCAUCCAGAUCCUGAAAAGGGGGGAUCCAUUGAGGGUGUGUCUCCAUUAGAGAACAGUGGAGACUUAUCAGGCAAUAACAGACACACCAUAGCGCCAGGGAAGCUUUCUCUGACUGCCUCGUCGACUUAUAUUCCAAGGAAAUGAGUCAUGAUCACUGCUGACUACACAUACGGUGGUGUUAAAGCACUGAUGCACUUUAACCACUCUAAAAUACAAAAAUAAAAUAACCUGGUAAAGACUGGAUAACCGAAUUGUAUGCUUUUGUAUUGCUCUUUAACCAACAGGUGCAUCUGAGUCACAGAAGGCAGAGAUGAUGAAAUGCAGCUUGUAAUGUUCCUUCUGGGGUUACGAAAUGGCUAUCUUUCUGCAGCUUCUCUCAUGACUUCUGUUUGACUUCUCAAAGUCUUAAAUCCCACUGGUUCAAGGGUGUUGAGGAAUUUUCCAUAACAGCAGCUCUGGCAGUAGUGCUGACUGUAAUUCAAAUCAGAGCUCCAGUUGGCUCUGCGUUCAGUGCAUGUGUUGGCCACAGAGUUUGGUGAUGCUGGGAGGACUGCUGAGCAGUGUAGGGAUAGUCGUUGGAGUAUACAGUCAAAAUCUGUUCCAGCUUUACAUCACUGUGGGAUUUCUGACAGUGCCCUCUUUUUGGCUUUGACUAUGCUCUGACCUGGACUGUAACCAUGCUGGGCUGCUAUUUUAAGAAGCAGCGGCCCGUUGCCAAAGCUCUCACCAGUGCAGAUAACCAGGAGGCCAUGCAACACUAAAGAAAAGUCUAAAAUCCAGGAAUGAUGGAGUCGAAUGGUAAUGGAACUUGUCAAAAACUAUUGUA